This 253-nucleotide ribosomal RNA is filed under the name uncultured bacterium. RNAcentral's name for it is "partial 16S ribosomal RNA". It matches the Rfam family "Bacterial small subunit ribosomal RNA", at positions 524 to 776 of the family's 1533-position model. The record is from RNAcentral.
UACGGGGGGGGCAAGCGUUGUUCGGAAUUACUGGGCGUAAAGGGCUCGUAGGCGGCCAACUAAGUCAUACGUGAAAUCCCUCGGCUUAACCGGGGAACUGCGUCUGAUACUGGAUGGCUUGAGUUCGGGAGAGGGAUGCGGAAUUCCAGGUGUAGCGGUGAAAUGCGUAGAUAUCAUUUGGAACGCCAAUGGUGAAAACAGCUCGCUGGGGGUGUGCUGACGCUGAGACACGAAAGCCAGGGGAGCGAACGGG